This 253-nucleotide unclassified non-coding RNA is filed under the name uncultured Caryophanales bacterium. RNAcentral's name for it is "uncultured Bacillales bacterium contains 16S-23S intergenic spacer region". It matches the Rfam family "Bacterial small subunit ribosomal RNA", at positions 524 to 776 of the family's 1533-position model. The record is from RNAcentral. Lineage: Bacteria; Bacillati; Bacillota; Bacilli; Caryophanales.
UACGUAGGAGGCAAGCGUUGUCCGGAAUUAUUGGGCGUAAAGCGCGCGCAGGCGGCCCCUUAAGUCUGAGGUGAAAGUCUCCUGCUCAACCGGAGAGGGCCAAUGGAAACUGGGAGGCUUGAGUAUAGGAGAGAAGAGUGGAAUUCCACGUGUAGCGGUGAAAUGCGUAGAGAUGUGGAGGAACACCAGUGGCGAAGGCGACUCUUUGGCCUAUAACUGACGCUGAGGCGCGAAAGCGUGGGGAGCAAACAGG